Molecule: long non-coding RNA, 251 nt
Organism: Neopelma chrysocephalum (saffron-crested tyrant-manakin)
Lineage: Eukaryota; Metazoa; Chordata; Aves; Passeriformes; Pipridae
Exons: 3
Source: RefSeq, a predicted model, not a curated record
GAUGUGCACCAGAGCCUGGUCCCAUUCUUCCGCUGGGAUGAUGAGAACCAGUGCAUGGCAGAGGUGCCGGCCAUCGUGAGGUACAUCCACCAGUGCCUCACCUUCCACCUGUCUCCAGAUGUCAGGCAGCACAUUGACAUCCGCAGCCUCGCUGAAACAAACCCUCAUGAGGUUGUGAUGACUCUCCUGUGCUGUGCCCCAGCGUGUGACAGAGCUGCUGCAGUGAUGUGGAGCAGCAUCGCCUCCUCGGG